AUUAACUCAGUAGGUAGAGCAUGAGACUCUUAAUCUCAGGGUUGUGGGUUGAAGCCUCACAU
This 62-nucleotide transfer RNA is filed under the name Mesocricetus auratus (golden hamster). It matches the Rfam family "tRNA", at positions 6 to 65 of the family's 71-position model. From Rfam's summary of the family: Transfer RNA (tRNA) molecules are approximately 80 nucleotides in length. The record is from Rfam by way of RNAcentral. Lineage: Eukaryota; Metazoa; Chordata; Mammalia; Rodentia; Cricetidae.